UACGUAGGGGGCAAGCGUUGUCCGGAAUCACUGGGCGUAAAGCGCACGUAGGCGGUUUGCCAAGUUGGGGGUGUAAGCUCUAGGCCUAACCUAGAAAUUGCCUCCAAAACUAGCAUACUUGAGUAUUAGAGGGGAAGCUGGAAUUCACGGUGUAGCGGUGAAAUGCGUAGAUAUCGUGGAGAACACCCGUGGCGAAGGCGGGCUUCUGGCUAAUUACUGACGCUGAGGUGCGAAAGCUAGGGGAGCGAACGGG
RNAcentral lists this ribosomal RNA (253 nucleotides) under uncultured bacterium. RNAcentral describes it as "partial 16S ribosomal RNA". It matches the Rfam family "Bacterial small subunit ribosomal RNA", at positions 524 to 776 of the family's 1533-position model. The record is from RNAcentral.